UCAGUUCAGAUUGCAGGCUGCAACUCGCCUGCAUGAAGUCGGAAUUGCUAGUAAUCGUAGGUCAGCAUACUACGGUGAAUACGUUCCCGGGCCUUGUACACACCGCCCGUCAAACCAUGGGAGUUGGGAGCGCCCGAAGCCGGUGAGGUAACCGAGAGGAGCCAGCCGUCGAAGGUGAGACCAAUGACUGGGGUGAAGUCGUAACAAGGUAGC
RNAcentral lists this ribosomal RNA (213 nucleotides) under uncultured bacterium. RNAcentral's name for it is "partial 16S ribosomal RNA". It matches the Rfam family "Bacterial small subunit ribosomal RNA", at positions 1288 to 1500 of the family's 1533-position model. The record is from RNAcentral.